Molecule: long non-coding RNA, 2227 nt
Filed under: Fukomys damarensis (Damara mole-rat)
Lineage: Eukaryota; Metazoa; Chordata; Mammalia; Rodentia; Bathyergidae
Description: lncRNA (ENSFDAG00000031790.1)
Source: RNAcentral
GUGUGAGCUGCUUCAUCUGAUUUCUUUCAUCAAGGGAUGGCAGAAAGAGCAUGAAGACCCUGGACUUCAGAUACCUCUGCUGUGAGGAAGGAACAUCCACUGACGACUUGUGGAAAUGCCAUAGAGACAUAAUUUUGAGUGAAUGUCCAUUUGAAGAGCAGCCUUAUGCCACACAUCAGACAAAGGUAAUUUGAAAGUGAAAACACAUUUUAUUUCUACUAUUUUUAAAAGAAUGGAAAUGAAGACCUUGAUAGGAUCCUUUAAGACUUCAUAAAAAGUUUUGUUCUUUGCAGAAAUAUUUCCCGAAAGUCUGCUGCACCCCUAUGGCUUGUCUGCUGCCUCUUACUGAAAUAACUACAAUGCAGUGAAUGAAGUCCUGAACCUGCAGUGCUAAGAACAGUGAGCAGCCGCAGCAAGUGGUCCCUGAGAAUGGACACAGAGGCCAGAUGAGACCGAGUAACUUGCUCAAUAGCUCUUGGUGUUACAUGGUAGAAACAAGACUGGAAACUGAACCUAUCAGACUCACAAGCUCUUGCUUUUAGCUGAUGCCUCUGGUUUGGUAACACUUCAUAAUACGAUACAGAUCAGGCUGUGUUCACUUCUCCAAAAAGCUCUUUCAAAUACAACAACAGCCAAGGCAGAAAGAUCACAAGUUUGAGCUCAAUCUGAGUAACUUAGUGACUUAGCAAGACUCUGUCUCAAGAUUAAAAAAUUUUAAAAUGGCUGGGGAUGUAACUUAGUGUGAAGGCCCUGGGUUUAAUCCCCAGUACUGCAAAAACAAACAAAUAAACCACAACAACAAAACUCUAGCCAACUUUGAGCAAAUUCUUUCAGUUGCUAAAUGUUUCACUAAACAUUGCAGUUAUUAUCUUGAUUGUGCCUCAUAACAGCCCUAAUAAGUAGACACAGUCAUCGUUUUAUGAUGAAGAAAUUGAGACAUUAAAUAAACUGCCCAAAUUAACAAUUACAAGUGACAGAAUCAGGACUUAGACCUACUCUUCUUUAUUUUUUCAGUAUAUUAUGUACUUUCAUUUUUAUAUUGUAGAAACAAUAAUUGUUUUUGGAGGUAGUAGGGAUUGAACUCAGGACCUUGUGCUUGCGAGGCAGGCAUGGUGCCACUGAGCUAAAUCCCCGGCCCUGCAAUAACUUUUAUACUACAAUAAAUAAAUGUCAUAAGUACAAGCUAGUCAGAACAAAUGAAUUAGUAUGAACUUGAAAGAAUUAGAAUUUCUAUACCAAAACAUAAGCACUUCUAUCACACAUUUUUUUGGGUCAAGUAGUAACCUCAAAUACAUACAGGGCAAGUACUGCUACGUCAAAAGUACCACAAACUUCUGAUUUGACGUAGCCACUUAGGAGACAUAAAGAAUACGUAUCAUCUAGUAUGUUGUUGCUAAUAAUAGCUGGUGGGCUAAAUAAACAGGCCAGUCACUCUACCCACUUUCCUGUUUUCAACUUUUAGGAAUUUCGAUUUAUCUAAAAGUUUGACAUAGGCAAUCCCAAUAAUUACUUUCUCUUCUUCCGUGACUGUAGAAUGGCAACUUUAAACAAUUAAAGUUCAAGCUUUUUCUGAAUUUAUCAAAGUGUUUCUGAGCUCUUUUUGAAAAAAGCCUGUUCUGCAUGGGUUACCUUCAUAAGGACUACAAUGCCAACCUCUCUCGAUAUACAAGGACCACUGAGGAAUAAAUCUUUAUUCAUAGAGGUCCUUAGUUAUGGUGCCAACUGGUUGCACUCGCCUAAGCCUCUUUAAAAUACAUUCUAUUAAAUCUGCUAUAGGUAGAACAGUAGGCCAAGAAACAUAACCUUUAUUUUAAUGAUCUCAUAGGCACAACAAUCACUUCUCUGUGCACCUUUCCCCACUACUCAGUACCAUCAUCAGUUCUUAUAACUGAGUUCAGGUCCUUCAGAAGGACUCCGGCAAUGCUAAUGCCACAAAGGCACAUUGGAGUCUCCACACUUUCUAAGGACCACUCCUGACAACUUCCAGUGUGGACAUCAAAUCUCCACCCAAUCAAGAAAUGGAAAUAAGGGCCGGGAUUAGCUCAGUGGUGCCAUUGCCUGCUUCAUAAGCACAAGGUCCAGAGUUCAAUCCCUGGUACCAAAAUAAAUAAAUAAAUAAAUAAAAUGAAAAGAAAUGGAAAUAGGUGGUACUUAGCUCACAGCUGUUUCCAAUACUCAGAUUGAAGGACAUGCAGUAUUCUCUUCAAUAUUUGAUAUGGAUAAUGCC